GCCUACGGGGGGCAGCAGUGAGGAAUAUUGGUCAAUGGUCGGGAGACUGAACCAGCCAAGCCGCGUGAGGGAGGAAGGUACAGAGUAUCGUAAACCUCUUUUGUCAGGGAACAAAGGCGGGGACGUGUCCCCGGAUGAGUGUACCUGAAGAAAAAGCAUCGGCUAAAUCCGUGCCAGCAGCCGCGGUAAUACGGAGGAUGCGAGCGUUAUCCGGAUUUAUUGGGUUUAAAGGGUGCGCAGGCGGUCUGUUAAGUCAGCGGUCAAAGCCCGGGGCUCAACCCCGGCCCGCCGUUGCAACUGGCAGU
This 305-nucleotide ribosomal RNA is filed under the name uncultured bacterium. Its description in RNAcentral is "bacterial SSU rRNA". It matches the Rfam family "Bacterial small subunit ribosomal RNA", at positions 337 to 640 of the family's 1533-position model. The record is from RNAcentral.